UGGCUCAAAUCGGUUAAGUUUUGAUUGCAUUACUAGCAGAUGUAAGUAUGUUAUACUAAUUUUUAGACCUAGUUGAGCCAGUGAAAAUUUUUAAGUGAAAUAGCUUAAAAUUCUCAAGUUUUAGUCAUGCAAUGCAUGAUGGGAAUAUGAUCGCUGUCACUUUGCCGCCGUAUGCAUCUGUGCUUUUUGCCGAGAAGACGUCACUUUUUCGCCGCGCACCGGACAGUCCAGUCUGCAAAAACUCGCCACAGACGCAUCUUGGUGGUGACACGGCCCGAUCCACGCUGAGCGAGAGACACGCACUCGGUGGGAAGAAGAGUGUCAUAGGAAGAGAUUCCUUUGAAACCAGUAUCCUGAUAUUGGAAGUUGUCCAAAACAAGCCUGCCAUCAGCCAGAUGUUACAUCGAUGGCCAGCUCUUUUCACAGAGUGUAAUACAAAAAGAUGUAUGUGUCACUGUAAUGUUAAAUACAAUUUGUCCAUAGAUUCUUGUUUUUAGCUUCAUAUGCAAUUCAUAGUUUGUUUCAGGUUUAUUACGAGUUCUCCAGAGUGGUGGGGAAAAGUCUGCAAGAUAAUUUCUUUGAACUUGACCGUUUCUCUCCGAGGUUGAUCGACAUCUUUCGGAAGAAGAAAGGCCUUACCGGCCAGCUUUUGGCUGAGCUUUUACGUCAGACAAAGACCACUGAGCCAACAGACAUCAGGUGCCCAUGUCUUUGGGGACUGCCUGUCAUCUUGGCGGAUGAUUCUUCUGCCUUCUUCAGAACAUGCUCUGAUGUAACUGAGAAGGACUCGUACAGUGAAACUUCAGUGGGAAUUCUCUGCCUUGGUUAAGAAAAUACCCAGCUCAACCCAUCCAGAGUAGGGAUCAUCUUGGAAGGGUCUGUGGUAAUGGAUGAACUGUCAAACCUACCUCAGGCCUUCUGUGUCCUUUUUGGACUGAUCUAUGCCCUACACCUGGACUACCCCAAGUGCAUGAAAAACCCUUUCAAUUUUAUUCAGCAAGUAAUGCUCAAACUGGUUAAAAGUGAGCUGGUACCCAAAAUUAAAACUUUGAAAAAUCAGCUGGAAGCAUAUAUCGGGUCAAAAUGGCCCUUCGACUGUUUUAGAUUUGUUUGCCACAGUUUGUAAUGUUGGACUUUUAUGAAAACAUGUUUAUUGUUGUGUGAAGUUUGGGAUACAUGUGUUCCGUGGUAUUUGCACUGUUUUUUUUUUUUUUUUUUUUGCACAAGAUUCCAUGACGCAGGCUUUAAAAAAAUAAUUUCAAAUGAGUUGGGUAUUUUAGUUACAUUGCAGUACCAACUAAAAGCUAAAACAUUUCCCAGAUAGGAGUGUAAGUUACAAUACAGUUUUAAUGUGAUUUGUUGUAAUAAUGAUGUACACAUGCUUGAGGACAAUAAGUGUUAUGUUGGCAUGAUGGUGCUUUGUUUUUUGCGAUGUUCAGGGCAUGAAUGACACAUUUUGCCACUGUUUCUGGCUUAUGAUUCAAAGUUGUUAAAGCAGGGACAACAACCCUGUAACUUCUUGCUGUUUUUAAAUAAAACAGUUAAAAAAA
Oryzias latipes (Japanese medaka) is the source of this 1550-nucleotide long non-coding RNA. RefSeq lists it as uncharacterized. The record is from RefSeq and is a predicted model, not a curated record. NCBI's taxonomy places the organism in Eukaryota, Metazoa, Chordata, Actinopteri, Beloniformes, Adrianichthyidae.